UACGGGGGGAGCAAGCGUUGUUCGGAUUUACUGGGCGUAAAGGGCGCGUAGGCGGCGUGACAAGUCACUUGUGAAAUCUCCGGGCUUAACUCGGAGCGGUCAAGUGAUACUGUCGUGCUAGAGUGCGGAAGGGGCUACUGGAAUUCUCGGUGUAGCGGUGAAAUGCGCAGAUAUCGGGAGGAACACCAGUAGCGAAGGCGGCACUCUGGGCCGGAACUGACGCUGAGGAGCGAAAGCGUGGGGAGCAAACAGG
This 253-nucleotide ribosomal RNA is filed under the name uncultured bacterium. Its description in RNAcentral is "partial 16S ribosomal RNA". It matches the Rfam family "Bacterial small subunit ribosomal RNA", at positions 524 to 776 of the family's 1533-position model. The record is from RNAcentral.